Molecule: ribosomal RNA, 255 nt
Filed under: uncultured bacterium
Lineage: Bacteria
Description: partial 16S ribosomal RNA
Rfam family: Bacterial small subunit ribosomal RNA
Source: RNAcentral
UACGUAGGGUCCGAGCGUUUGUCCGGAAUUAUUGGGCGUAAAGGGCUCGUAGGCGGUUCGUCACGUCGGGAGUGAAAACUCGGGGCUUAACCCCCGAGCCUGCUUCCGAUACGGGCAGACUAGAGGUAGGCAGGGGAGAGCGGAACUCCUGGUGUAGCGGUGGAAUGCGCAGAUAUCAGGAAGAACACCGGUGGCGAAGGCGGCUCUCUGGGCCUUACCUGACGCUGAGGAGCGAAAGCGUGGGUAGCGAACAGG